UCCAUUCUCUGUUAGCCGACAUACAAUCUAUCAUAAGUUGGCUGACAUGCUCACACAAUUUGUUUGCUUGGGACAGAAAUUAAGCAUUGAAACUAUGUUCCACAUGUGUGCUUAGCAUCACAUAAUUCAUAGCAAACUCAGCCGUGUACAAAUCUAGGUUCACCUAUGUAGCAUAUCUGGUUAAAUUUCACAUAUGUGAUUGCAAGUUCCAUCGACAAAUAUGUCCACACAAGUUCCUAAAGAUAAUACUCUACCAUAUCUAGAUCAUACUACUCUACUCUCUACUGUUGCCAAAAGACACAAUAAAACCCAUCCAUAGCCUUUGGUCUUCUUCGCCCUUGGGCCUCGGCGCAUUUGAACAGUACAGCAACAAGAGGCAAAUGAACAUACCAUCAAGGGUCACCUGGUAAGAGUUUUGCACAUUAUGUUAAUUCCCGCAAAGUAAAAAGUGCAAAAUAACAAAGCGGCACAUAUUUGUAGAAGGUAAAAGGUACAAGAACUUGCAGAAACUCGCUGUGCGCCCAAGCGUAAGUGGUCUCAGUAUCACAGACAUACUAUAGCUAUAUCCAGUACAUCAUUUUCCCAUUCAAAAUUCAUAAAGCCAAGCCUAUUUUAUUCAACAUCUUAGUGAAUAGCAAGUCUAUCACUUGGUUGAUUAAACAGAGCAAAGAAUCUAGAACUCUGGUCAGACUUCAUCAGGUGAGAUCAAACCUUAACCUUAUAAUCUACCUGAGACCCUGAUUUAAUAGUUGACAAUAUAUAAGCACAAUCAAAUGUAAAAUGGUUUAGACAAAGAACUAGAGAAAAUAUUAUUAUGCAUGAUAUGAAUCUGUUUAGUAGGUUUUACUAUGUUUGUCUAAAAUAAGUGAAAUUUAAGAGUUGAGCUGAAAAAUACGCAUAUAAUAGCUUACUGUUGUAUUUCAAAGUAAAGUGGCAACAGGCAAGCCUCAUGCAACAUACAAAAAUUAAAAAGGGAUGCCAUUUAUAUACCAUACAUCAAAAUCAUAAAUGUAAAGUGAAAUUUCUUUCGUGCAAUAGAUGUGAAGAUACUACAAGAAUUUAAACCACUAUUCAUAGCUGAGCUAUUGUGAAAGGAGCUUUUGGAUUUACUUUUGUUCCCUCCACUAGGCAUAUAAGAUGUGACAUAUGAUGGAAACAAAUUUUCAGCUACAUAUAUGGUAGAAAAUGUGCGGUAACUGAAAGUGCUAAUAACAUGUGAAAGGAGUAGUAAAAUUACAACCCCAACAUGCCCACAAACAACAGAAAUGUUGCUAUCUCUGGGGUCAAGUCCAAGAAGCUCUUCCUGUAGAUAGAUAAGGACAUUAAUAGGAAUUUGAGAAAAAACCCACAAAGAAACUAGUAAUAUAAUAGGGCACUAUGGCAAACUAUUUUGAAGCACACAACACAAAUCUAUUCGCUCUUACUACAUCAAGUGUUUUCAUCCCUAAUAGGAGCUUCAGAACAUGUUCCAUAAUUUUUUUAAUACUUCAGCAGACUCAAAUGAACAGAGAAAUUCAUGUAGAAUAAUAAUUGUACUAAAAUUACAUAAUGCUAGAACACACCAAAGAUAAUGAUAUGGGCAAAUCCGUUUUUUCACAUUAAGCAUGCGAAAUAAUAAUAUGCGUACAAUAGAGCUCAUGUAUUUGGGAAAAUAAGAAAUGUAUUUGCUGACCAGCAGAUCAUAGAAUUAAAUGUGAACAAGCUUAAAAAGAUCAUUCAAUUGCAGAAAAACUAUUUGCUGGUUAUACCUGAGGGGG
RNAcentral lists this long non-coding RNA (1757 nucleotides) under Triticum aestivum (bread wheat). Its description in RNAcentral is "long non-coding RNA (TAES_LNC025557)". The record is from RNAcentral. Lineage: Eukaryota; Viridiplantae; Streptophyta; Magnoliopsida; Poales; Poaceae.